Molecule: ribosomal RNA, 1081 nt
Filed under: Microbacterium lacticum
Lineage: Bacteria; Bacillati; Actinomycetota; Actinomycetes; Micrococcales; Microbacteriaceae
Description: bacterial SSU rRNA
Rfam family: Bacterial small subunit ribosomal RNA
Source: RNAcentral
AGCAGUGGGGAAUAUUGCACAAUGGGCGAAAGCCUGAUGCAGCAACGCCGCGUGAGGGACGACGGCCUUCGGGUUGUAAACCUCUUUUAGCAGGGAAGAAGCGAAAGUGACGGUACCUGCAGAAAAAGCGCCGGCUAACUACGUGCCAGCAGCCGCGGUAAUACGUAGGGCGCAAGCGUUAUCCGGAAUUAUUGGGCGUAAAGAGCUCGUAGGCGGUUUGUCGCGUCUGCUGUGAAACCCCGAGGCUCAACCUCGGGCCUGCAGUGGGUACGGGCAGACUAGAGUGCGGUAGGGGAGAUUGGAAUUCCUGGUGUAGCGGUGGAAUGCGCAGAUAUCAGGAGGAACACCGAUGGCGAAGGCAGAUCUCUGGGCCGUAACUGACGCUGAGGAGCGAAAGGGUGGGGAGCAAACAGGCUUAGAUACCCUGGUAGUCCACCCCGUAAACGUUGGGAACUAGUUGUGGGGUCCAUUCCACGGAUUCCGUGACGCAGCUAACGCAUUAAGUUCCCCGCCUGGGGAGUACGGCCGCAAGGCUAAAACUCAAAGGAAUUGACGGGGACCCGCACAAGCGGCGGAGCAUGCGGAUUAAUUCGAUGCAACGCGAAGAACCUUACCAAGGCUUGACAUAUACGAGAACGGGCCAGAAAUGGUCAACUCUUUGGACACUCGUAAACAGGUGGUGCAUGGUUGUCGUCAGCUCGUGUCGUGAGAUGUUGGGUUAAGUCCCGCAACGAGCGCAACCCUCGUUCUAUGUUGCCAGCACGUAAUGGUGGGAACUCAUGGAAUACUGCCGGGGUCAACUCGGAGGAAGGUGGGGAUGACGUCAAAUCAUCAUGCCCCUUAUGUCUUGGGCUUCACGCAUGCUACAAUGGCCGGUACAAUGGGCUGCAAUACCGCAAGGUGGAGCGAAUCCCAAAAAGCCGGUCCCAGUUCGGAUUGAGGUCUGCAACUCGACCUCAUGAAGUCGGAGUCGCUAGUAAUCGCAGAUCAGCAACGCUGCGGUGAAUACGUUCCCGGGUCUUGUACACACCGCCCGUCAAGUCAUGAAAGUCGGUAACACCUGAAGCCGGUGGCCCAACCC